UUCAUAGCUUAGAAGAAGACCAGUAUAGGAGAUGUUCUUUUGUAGAGAGCAGAUGGUUGGUGAAAAUCUGUGAAGAAACUCUUAGAAUCCACUUUGGAGCUUUUUGGGAUAACCAAAACGUGAUAAGAGCGUUAAUCUUAAUGAGUUGGAUUAGCAGAUAAUCAAAUUAGGUGGUACCGCGAAAAUUUUACCUUCGUCCUAAUA
This 204-nucleotide non-coding RNA is filed under the name Filifactor alocis. Its description in RNAcentral is "T-box sequence". It matches the Rfam family "T-box leader". From Rfam's summary of the family: Uncharged tRNA acts as the effector for transcription antitermination of genes in the T-box leader family. T-boxes are found upstream of many aminoacyl-tRNA synthetase genes and some amino acid biosynthetic genes usually in Gram-positive bacteria. The record is from RNAcentral. Lineage: Bacteria; Bacillati; Bacillota; Clostridia; Peptostreptococcales; Filifactoraceae.